GACGAACGCUGGCGGCGUGCUUAACACAUGCAAGUCGAACGGUAAGGCCCUUCGGGGUACACGAGUGGCGAACGGGUGAGUAACACGUGGGUGAUCUGCCCUGCACUUCGGGAUAAGCCUGGGAAACUGGGUCUAAUACCGGAUAGGACCACUGCCUGCAUGGGUGGUGGUGGAAAGCUUUUGCGGUGUGGGAUGGGCCCGCGGCCUAUCAGCUUGUUGGUGGGGUGAUGGCCUACCAAGGCGACGACGGGUAGCCGGCCUGAGAGGGUGACCGGCAACACUGGGACUGAGAUACGGCCCAGACUCCGUCGGGAGGAAGCAGUGGGGAAUAUUGCACAAUGGGCGCAAGCCUGAUGCAGCGACGCCGCGGGAGGGAUGACGGCCUUCGGGUUGUAAACCUCUUUCAGCACCGACGAAGCGCAAGUGACGGUAGGUGCAGAAGAAGGACCGGCCAACUACGUGCCAGCCGCCGCGGUAA
This 478-nucleotide ribosomal RNA is filed under the name uncultured bacterium. RNAcentral's name for it is "partial 16S ribosomal RNA". It matches the Rfam family "Bacterial small subunit ribosomal RNA", at positions 28 to 523 of the family's 1533-position model. The record is from RNAcentral.